AGGGUGUAAACGCUGCAGACUUGGUGUUGGAAGUCCUUUGGGGGCAUUCAGUGCCGGAGAGAAGUUGUUAAGUCUGCUACUUGGGGAGUACGUCCGCAAGGAUGAAACUUAGAGGAAUUGGCGGGGGAGCACCGCAACGGGAGGAGCGUGCGGUUUAAUUGGAUUCAACACCGUAAAACUCACCAGGGAAGACUGUUACAUGAAAGCCGAGAUGAAGACUCUGCUAGAUUUUCAGAGAGGAGGUGCAUGGCGUCAGUG
This 258-nucleotide ribosomal RNA is filed under the name uncultured archaeon. RNAcentral describes it as "partial 16S ribosomal RNA". It matches the Rfam family "Archaeal small subunit ribosomal RNA", at positions 748 to 1005 of the family's 1478-position model. The record is from RNAcentral.